Molecule: ribosomal RNA, 653 nt
Filed under: Stenotrophomonas maltophilia
Lineage: Bacteria; Pseudomonadati; Pseudomonadota; Gammaproteobacteria; Lysobacterales; Lysobacteraceae
Description: bacterial LSU rRNA
Rfam family: Bacterial large subunit ribosomal RNA
Source: RNAcentral
GUUAUAUGGUCAAGCGAAUAAGCGCACACGGUGGAUGCCUUGGCGGUCAGAGGCGAUGAAGGACGUGGCAGCCUGCGAAAAGUAUCGGGGAGCUGGCAACAAGCUUUGAUCCGGUAAUGUCCGAAUGGGGAAACCCACCCGCUUGCGGGUAUCCUGCAGUGAAUACAUAGCUGCUGGAAGCGAACCUGGUGAACUGAAAUAUCUAAGUAACCAGAGGAAAAGAAAUCAACCGAGAUUCCGUAAGUAGCGACGAGCGAACGCGGACUAGCCCUUAAGCUGGAUUGGUUCUAGGAAAACGCUCUGGAAAGAGCGGCCAUAGAAGGUGAUAGCCCUGUAUCUGAAAGGGCCAUUCCAGUGAAGACGAGUAGGGCGGGGCACGUGAAACCCUGUCUGAACAUGGGGGGACCAUCCUCCAAGGCUAAAUACUACUGACCGACCGAUAGUGAACCAGUACCGUGAGGGAAAGGCGAAAAGAACCCCGGAGAGGGGAGUGAAAUAGAACCUGAAACCGUGUGCGUACAAGCAGUAGGAGCUCCGCAAGGAGUGACUGCGUACCUUUUGUAUAAUGGGUCAGCGACUUACUGUUCGUGGCAAGCUUAACCGUAUAGGGGAGGCGAAGGGAAACCGAGUCUGAUAAGGGCGCAUAGUCGCGG